AUUGAACGCUGGCGGCAUGCCUUACACAUGCAAGUCGAACGGCAGCACGGGUACUUGUACCUGGUGGCGAGUGGCGAACGGGUGAGUAAUACAUCGGAACGUACCUUAUCGUGGGGGAUAACGCAGCGAAAGCUGUGCUAAUACCGCAUACGCCCUGAGGGGGAAAGCGGGGGAUCGAAAGACCUCGCGCGAUUAGAGCGGCCGAUGCUUGAUUAGCUUGUUGGUGGGGUAAAAGCCCACCAAGGCGACGAUCAAUAGCUGGUCUGAGAGGACGAUCAGCCACACUGGGACUGAGACACGGCCCAGACUCCUACGGGAGGCAGCAGUGGGGAAUUUUGGACAAUGGGGGCAACCCUGAUCCAGCAAUGCCGCGUGAGUGAAGAAGGCCUUCGGGUUGUAAAGCUCUUUUGUCAGGGAAGAAACACCGGCUCUAACACAGUCCGGGAAUGACGGUACCCGAA
RNAcentral lists this ribosomal RNA (461 nucleotides) under uncultured bacterium. RNAcentral's name for it is "bacterial SSU rRNA". It matches the Rfam family "Bacterial small subunit ribosomal RNA", at positions 30 to 483 of the family's 1533-position model. The record is from RNAcentral.